GGAUUGCGANUGGGCGAAAGCCUGACGCAGCGACGCCGCGUGGGGGAUGAAGCUUCUCGGAGUGUAAACCCCUUUCGACCCGGACGAAUGACCCGCAAGGGUUUGACGGUACGGGUAUAAGAAGCCCCGGCUAACUACGUGCCAGCAGCCGCGGUAAUACGUAGGGGGCCAGCGUUGCUCGGAAUUACUGGGCGUAAAGGGUUCGUAGGUGGUGCGGCAAGUUGGAAGUGAAAUCUCUGGGCUUAACCCAGAGGCUGCUUUCAAAACUGCCGUGCUCGAGUGCGAGAGAGGCCAGUGGAAUUGCAGGUGUAGCGGUGAAAUGCGUAGAUAUCUGCAGGAACACCCGUGGCGAAGGCGGCUGGCUGGAUCGCAACUGACACUGAGGAACGAAAGCUAGGGGAGCAAACAGGAUUAGAUACCCUGGUAGUCCUAGCCCUAAACCAUCAGGACUUGGGGUGGCCCGCGUAGGCGGGUCGUCCCGUAGCUAACGCGUUAAGUCCUGCGCCUGGGGAGUACGGUCGCAAGACUGAAACUCAAAGAAAUUGACGGA
This 550-nucleotide ribosomal RNA is filed under the name uncultured bacterium. Its description in RNAcentral is "bacterial SSU rRNA". It matches the Rfam family "Bacterial small subunit ribosomal RNA", at positions 359 to 917 of the family's 1533-position model. The record is from RNAcentral.